UUACAGUAACGACUUCUAUGAGGACAUUAAACCGGAUGUGAGUGAGAAAUUCGACACUUCAGAUUUUCAAGAGAAUAACAUUUAUAAUUUACCAAGGGUAAAUAAAAAAGUUGUGGGGGUGAUGAAGGAUGAGGUCAAAGGAAGAAUAAUAACCGAAUUUGUAGGGCUGAGAUCUAAGAUGUACGCCUACGCAUUGGAGUCCUAUAGCGAUGAUACAAAACAAUGUGAGGAUGAUUAUGAUGAUGAUGAUGAUGAAGUGCCUGCGAAGAAAAAGAAAGACGAUGUACAAUGUGUGAAAAAAAGUAAAGGUGUUAGCGCUGCAGUCGUCGCUAGGAUACAUUUCCAACAGUAUAGAGAGUGUUUAAAUCUAAGUAAAGAAUUUCAUGAUGAUAUGUAUAAUAUUAUAAGCGAUCACCAUAAUGUUUAUACUAGAAUAGUAAGGAAAAAAAUAUUAAGCGGUCUAGACGAUAAAAGGUUUAUCACACCCGAUCGCGUAGACACUCUACCUUGGGGUCAUUAUAGUUUAGAAAUAAAUGAUAUUUAUUAAACAAUCACUUGUUUUUUUUUAUUUCCAGACAAUACCCCCCUUAUAAUACAGCGGGCUUAGCAUGGUAGCGUGACAAGGCCGUGAUAGGGCGAAAUCGUGAUAGUUAUCCACAUCUGACAGCGGUAGAUGACAGAAUGACAGCGUUAGAUGACAGAAUGACAGCGGUAGACGACAGAAUGACAGCGGUAGACGACAGAAUGACAGCGGUAGAUGACAGAAUGACAGCGGUAGAUGACAGAAUGACAGCGGUAGAUGACAGGAGCUUGACAGACGACAAUUUGCAUAACAUAGUCGUUGCCGUCGUUGAUAAUUUGACACAUUGUCCCAUUUUGACAGUUCAACUUCGUUAAUUCUAUCUACGUGCUUCUUAGGUGACGAUAAGCCUUGUCGUGAAAGCAAAAUUAUUGAAUAAACCAAUUUUAAGGUAUAAAUUACGGGUAAAUAUCAGUUUUUCUAUGAUAUUGAGUUAUUAGUUACAAUGUUCCGCUGUAUAUAUAUAUUGUCAAUUUUUUCUUUGCAGGAAAGUCAAAUUUUAUUAUUCCUACUCGCGGAUGCUGUUAAAGAAAAAGAGCGUCUAAAAAUCUCGUGCAUAGCUUUAUCAAGACACUCUUACAACCCGUCUGAUAUGCCAGACGAAGAAUUUCGGGCAUUUCGCAUAUUUACAGUUAUGUGCCGAACUUAACGCCGAGCCUCAAAAGUCAAAACGGUGAUGGAUUACUAAAACACCUAAAGGUUCUAACAGGUGUAAUAACACCUGCUAGCUGAUGGCAACUAGUCCAUUGGUCAGACUACUGUGAGCCAGUAGCUAUUGAAGCAAUUUGUAAUAGCUGUAAAUAGAAGAAAACUUCUCUUGGAUCAAGGGAGAAAUUAAGGAAGGCGCUCCUCAAGGACUUCCUAAGCAUCAUGCACAAAACCGGCUGUUACUAAGAGUGUGCGCUUGCGAGUUGCUAGCGAGCUUAAUAAAUACA
Long non-coding RNA from Cydia strobilella, 1515 nucleotides. RefSeq lists it as uncharacterized. The record is from RefSeq and is a predicted model, not a curated record. The transcript is spliced from 3 exons. Lineage: Eukaryota; Metazoa; Arthropoda; Insecta; Lepidoptera; Tortricidae.